UACAGAGGUCCCAAGCGUUGUUCGGAUUCACUGGGCGUAAAGGGUGCGUAGGUGGUGAGGUAAGUCGGAUGUGAAAUCUCCGGGCUCAACCCGGAAAUGGCAUUGGAAACUACCUUGCUGGAGGAUUUGAGGGGGGAUUGGAAUACUUGGUGUAGCAGUGAAAUGCGUAGAUAUCAAGUGGAACACCAGUGGCGAAGGCGGCUCUCUGGAACGGUACUGACGCUGAGGCACGAAGGUCAGGGGAGCAAACGGG
RNAcentral lists this ribosomal RNA (253 nucleotides) under uncultured bacterium. RNAcentral's name for it is "partial 16S ribosomal RNA". It matches the Rfam family "Bacterial small subunit ribosomal RNA", at positions 524 to 776 of the family's 1533-position model. The record is from RNAcentral.